Molecule: ribosomal RNA, 478 nt
Filed under: uncultured bacterium
Lineage: Bacteria
Description: partial 16S ribosomal RNA
Rfam family: Bacterial small subunit ribosomal RNA
Source: RNAcentral
GACGAACGCUGGCGGCGUGCUCAACACAUGCAAGUCAAACGGUAAGGCCCUUCGGGGUACACGAGUGGCGAACGGGUGAGUAACACGUGGGUGAUCUGCCCUGCACUUCGGGAUCAGCCUGGGAAACUGGGUCUAAUACCGGAUCGGCCUCCUGGCUUCAUGGUUGGGGGUGGAACGCUUUUGCGGUGUGGGAUGGGCCCGCGGCCUAUCAGCUUGUUGGUGGGGUGAUGGCCUACCAAGGCGACGACGGGUAGCCGGCCUGAGAGGGUGACCGGUCACACUGGGACUGAGAUACGGCCCAGACUCCUACGGGAGGCAGCAGUGGGGAAUAUUGCACAAUGGGCGCAAGCCUGAUGCAGCGACGCCGCGUGAGGGAUGACGGCCUUCGGGUUGUAAACCUCUUUCAGCUAUGACGAAGCGCAAGUGACGGUAGUAGCAGAAGAAGGACCGGCCAACUACGUGCCAGCAGCCGCGGUAA